UCGCUUUCUCCUCUCCGUCGUCUCUCUCACAUCCACUCUCUCAAUUCAUAAACUGAAUUGAAUCUAACAUUAAAUUUUCUUCUUCUACACUGGAAAUUUAAAACCAUUUUCAGUUUAGAUGUUUCUAUAUUUACUCACAUUUACUAACCCUAAACCGAAUUGAAUCCAGAUUUACUUUGCUUCUUCUGCAAACCAUGUCUUCACCGUUCAUUUUAAUCGCUUCCAUUUCUCUUCUACACUGAAUCGUUUAGAAGCUCUAGGGUUUUUGAGAAUUGAAAUUUUGGUAGGUUUUUAUUUGCAACUCCAUUCUCUAGGCUUUAAUCUCUCCUUCUCUUGCAGAAACCUAAUCGAUAACUACAAGUCUUCCAUCUCAGGUGGUUCCUUUGACCUUAAAGUGGUUUGUGUUGCCACCGGAAGGAGAAAGGCUCCAUGCCCUGGUGAGGACAAUUUCAAGGCAGCAGUGCUGGUACUUGAAGAAGACGGGUCCUACAUUUCGAGUUCUCUAUCAGGUUGGGUUAGAGUUUUAAGAAAAAAUAUGGGUUUGGGUCUAUGUAAUGGGCUGAUAUUGAGUAAGCUGGGUUGGACUUGUAGCUAGUGUUCAAUUUUUGGGCCCUCGGCCGUUUGCUAGGUUGUAAUCUUGGCCUGUUAAAGGCUUUUAAUGCAUCUCUGCCUAAAAUUGUGAAAAGAGAGUUGCCGAUAUCCAUUGGCUGUGGAGCCCUGAGUAUUCCUGCGAGAGAUCAAAACAAGUGGGCCUUUCUGCGCUGGAAUCUUUCUUUGGAUGCAAAUGGAUCUUCAAGCUCGUCUCCCUUCGCUUAUACCCUCUAGACGUCAAGAUUAACCAAUUUUUCAUUUCUUCCUUUAAUAAAUACUAUCUUCUUAGACCUUUCUGCUCCCGAGGGAAUUCUCAGAACCCCAACCAAGACGGCGACGUCAUUUUUAGGCCUUCAAUUACUAACCCUCUUCACAACUUCAUCAGCUAUUUAGAAUUUGCGGGGUUCCUUUUUUUUUCUAUUUUGUGAUUCUGUGAUGGGAGAAUGGUAGCUAGAAGUCGAAGCCUUGUCCAUGGAGUUGAAUACUUUUAACUA
Long non-coding RNA from Hevea brasiliensis (rubber tree), 1085 nucleotides. RefSeq lists it as uncharacterized. The transcript is spliced from 2 exons. The record is from RefSeq and is a predicted model, not a curated record. NCBI's taxonomy places the organism in Eukaryota, Viridiplantae, Streptophyta, Magnoliopsida, Malpighiales, Euphorbiaceae.